RNAcentral lists this long non-coding RNA (283 nucleotides) under Helianthus annuus (common sunflower). Its description in RNAcentral is "hypothetical non coding rna". Lineage: Eukaryota; Viridiplantae; Streptophyta; Magnoliopsida; Asterales; Asteraceae. The record is from RNAcentral.
GACAAAUUAGGUUGGAACUUAGGAAUUGAAUCGUUCUCAUGGAGUUUUGCCUUCUGCUACUCUCAUAGUUCGAUGGCGGAAUCAGAGAUUCAAGUUCUGGUAAGUUGAUUGCUUGGAAAAAGGGUGCAAUCUGUUCAUUCAGUUUUAUUGUUUAAAGAAAGGAAGCACUUAGUUUAAUAUGGAACUUUGAGAAUAAGUCAGAUGAGACUACAAGAGCUACUAGGGACGUGAAUGCGCAAAGAAACAACCCAACUAUAACAUGAACCUUUUUUAUUGGUACAUU